AUGGCCAGCAACAGAGAUGAGCGUGUCAUUUCUCUGAAAUUAACAUGGGCGACCGGCAACAAUUCUUUUCAAGUACUACUCGACUAUGAGGCUAAUUGGUUAGCGGCCAAAAUUUGGCGAGCCAACUAUUGGCGCGUACCAAAAAUUGGCGCGUGGGGACCUUUCCCCAAUCGCCAACCCCUGCCCCCACCACUCGUCCGCCUGCCCCUCAUAGUUCCCCCGCGAGGGUUUCCUCUCGUCUUCCUCCGCCCUAGCCGCCAUCCCCUGGCGACCCUCCCGUCCAUCACCCCUACCGUCCCCGGCGACUGGAAGCGGUUGAAGACCUCCGCGAUCUCUUGCUCCGGCAGGAAGUCCUCGACGAGCCAGACCAGAUCCGACGGAGAAAUCAGCAAGAGAGAAGAGAGAAAGAAACGUCUCAAGUAUGCUCCACUUGUCAAGAGGGAUAUUUGGAGGAGUGGUGAACUAAUUAGGCUGAUUGACACCUUAGAAACGACAUGUUUGCGCCAGCUGAGGAUGUAUCCAGCUGUUUUCUACAAGCUGCGUGCUCACCUUAGAGACAAAAAGCUUUUGGUUGACACAGUUCAUGUGUCCGUGGAGGAGCAGGGAUGUAUAGGGACACUAGAUGGCACCCAUAUCAGGGCACGUGUGUCUUCAAAAUAUGUGGACCGGUUUAGGGGCCGCAAGCCAUAUCCCACACAAAAUGUCCUAGCUGCCGUGGACUUUGAUCUUAGAUUCACAUAUGUUCUAGCAGGCUGGGAGGGAUCAGCUCAUGAUUCUGCCGUAUUGCACGAUGCCCUAUCUCGUCCAAACGGUCUCAAAAUUCCAGAAGGAAAGUAUUAUUUGGCUGAUGCUGGGUAUGCCACCAGGAAGGGCAUAUUGCCGCCCUAUCGAGGUGUUCGCUAUCACCUACAGGAGUUUCAAGGUAACCCCCCAUGUCGACGCCCCCCGAGGCACAAACCCCUUCCAAAGCCUUACCUUUCCCUUUCGUUCUCCCAUGUCCUCCUCCUCCUCCUCGACGUCUCCGAGGCGACGCCGUCGUGGAGCUCAUCGGUGACGAGAGAGGGCGCCAUGAAGCCACGGCGAAGGGAACCCGACGAGUUCCCUCCUGAAUAUGGGGGUUCGAGAGGGGGGGGGUCAAUCGAGGGCAAUGUGAGGGGAUUUUUAGAUGUGAUUUUCACUACCGCCAUACAGGGGAAGGGGAAUUAUUUAUUGUACAUAGGGAAUGCACCGCCCGCUCCUCCCGCUUUUGUCCCAGCACCGCCUGCUCCUCUCCGGCACAUCCAGUCCGCCAUGCCGCUCUCAUACGUGUAUGAGGCCAUCCCCGAGCUACUGCAGCCGGUGGGAUCUGUCUCACCGGAGGUCCUAGAGGCAACGAGGGCACUCCGAUGGAAGGAGAGGGCAACACGGAUCCACGACGACGCCCGAGCUUGGUCGCAGAGCGUUGGGGAGUGUAAGAGAGUUCAGGCGGAGAUGGAGGCAGAUGCAACUAUCUCCCGUGUCCGACGGGAAGGGUGCAUUGAAAUUGCCAAGAAGCACGCCGAUUGGGAGCUGCGCAAUUGGGGUCAAAGAAUCCACUUUGAGAGCUCAGCGGAGGAGCGAGCUAGGAUGUCGCCCCCAACUGCACCGGUAUUGGAGAUCAUCAACUGGGCAAGGGAGGAGGCAAGAAGGCCACGGGACAAGGCGAGGUGGGAGUGCUUGGCUGGUCGGAUGCCGACCAGUGCUCCGCCGCAGCCUGAACCGGUGGAUCCGCCGUCGUUUCUGUCUCCACGGCCAGGGCUAAGCUACGACGAGCUCUGA
RNAcentral lists this ribosomal RNA (1797 nucleotides) under Triticum aestivum (bread wheat). RNAcentral's name for it is "partial small subunit ribosomal RNA". The record is from RNAcentral. Lineage: Eukaryota; Viridiplantae; Streptophyta; Magnoliopsida; Poales; Poaceae.